Molecule: transfer RNA, 75 nt
Filed under: Deltaproteobacteria bacterium
Lineage: Bacteria; Pseudomonadati; Myxococcota; Myxococcia
Description: tRNA-Met
Rfam family: tRNA
About the family: Transfer RNA (tRNA) molecules are approximately 80 nucleotides in length. Their secondary structure includes four short double-helical elements and three loops (D, anti-codon, and T loops). Further hydrogen bonds mediate the characteristic L-shaped molecular structure. tRNAs have two regions of fundamental functional importance: the anti-codon, which is responsible for specific mRNA codon recognition, and the 3' end, to which the tRNAs corresponding amino acid is attached (by aminoacyl-tRNA synthetases). tRNAs cope with the degeneracy of the genetic code in two manners: having more than one tRNA (with a specific anti-codon) for a particular amino acid; and 'wobble' base-pairing, i.e. permitting non-standard base-pairing at the 3rd anti-codon position.
Source: RNAcentral
GGCAGGGUAGCUCAGCUGGUUUAGAGCGCGCGAUUCAUAAUCGCGAGGUCGGGAGUUCAAGUCUCCCUCCUGCUA